This 495-nucleotide ribosomal RNA is filed under the name uncultured bacterium. Its description in RNAcentral is "bacterial SSU rRNA". It matches the Rfam family "Bacterial small subunit ribosomal RNA", at positions 28 to 480 of the family's 1533-position model. The record is from RNAcentral.
GACGAACGCUGGCGGCGUGCCUAAUACAUGCAAGUCGAACGCACUCUCGUUUAGAUUGAAGGAGCUUGCUCCUGAUUGAUAAACAUUUGAGUGAGUGGCGGACGGGUGAGUAACACGUGGGUAACCUGCCCUAAAGUGGGGGAUAACAUUUGGAAACAGAUGCUAAUACCGCAUAAAACCUAAACACCGCAUGGUGUAGGGUUGAAAGAUGGUUUCGGCUAUCACUUUAGGAUGGACCCGCGGUGCAUUAGUUAGUUGGUGAGGUAAAGGCUCACCAAGACCGUGAUGCAUAGCCGACCUGAGAGGGUAAUCGGCCACACUGGGACUGAGACACGGCCCAGACUCCUACGGGAGGCAGCAGUAGGGAAUCUUCCCACAAUGGACGAAAGUCUGAUGGAGCAACGCCGCGUGAGUGAAGAAGGUUUUCGGAUCGUAAAACUCUGUUGUUGGAGAAGAAUGUAUCUGAUAGUAACUGAUCAGGUAGUGACGGUAUCC